UGAUUCUUCCCAAUAUAAAUCACUUUCAAAUCCAUUAAACAAUUCCUAAGAAAUGUAGAAGAGGUGUAAGAAAUCACAGACUUCAGGAAAACUGGUGGCUGGAUGGGAAAGAACCUCCCUGCUCCCACCCCAGACACCCAAAGGAAAAGCAUUUUCUAUUUAGCCAUUAUCUAUUUUCUUUGGUUGCAGCCAACUGGUCAUUCAUCACAUGUGUUACCAUCAGCUGGCCACAGUAAAUGCUAUUUCUGAUCUGGCACUACGGGGAAUAUGAACAAGUUUUUGAUGUAAUAGGCAGAGGAACGAGGACAGUCUUGUGGGAGGCCAGGCUCAUUAAUUCUGUCACUCAUGGGACAACUUGAUAUUUUCUUAAUUUUGAUUAUGACUAAUGUCCUGUUUCUCUUUUUUGUAAUUAAGUCUCAAGGAAAUGAAAAGCAAUUGCUGAAUGGGAAUGGAAACCUUGGUCCGUCUAGUGUUUGAGCACUGUAAGGCAGAAGAAGAAAGUAAGAAGUCCACAUAUGAUGCUGGAGGCUUCCUGGUCCUGCUGCUGCCAAUCUACAAAAUUCAGAUAACUGGCCCAGUGAUUAUGAUCUUCUCACUAUUGUCACAGUUGCUUUGAGAAGCUCCCACAGGAGAAGCCAGAUAAUUUGAAGAAAAGAACAGAGGCUGGAACUGGAAGGGAAGUUGAAAAGGGCCCAUGCAUCUGUGGAUGAGGGGAUCACAGCCUGUGGCAGAGCACCUCAGGUAUGCUUCUCAUGGUGCCAUGUCAUGCACCAAGUUUGCAG
This 782-nucleotide long non-coding RNA is filed under the name Coturnix japonica (Japanese quail). RNAcentral describes it as "lncRNA (ENSCJPG00005015621.1)". Lineage: Eukaryota; Metazoa; Chordata; Aves; Galliformes; Phasianidae. The record is from RNAcentral.